This 27-nucleotide non-coding RNA is filed under the name Cricetulus griseus (Chinese hamster). Lineage: Eukaryota; Metazoa; Chordata; Mammalia; Rodentia; Cricetidae. The record is from RNAcentral.
GUGAGUAUUUGUUGACUUUGAAUUAUG